UACGUAGGGUGCAAGCGUUGUCCGGAAUUAUUGGGCGUAAAGAGCUCGUAGGCGGUGUGUCGCGUCGGCCGUGAAAACCUGCAGCUUAACUGUGGGCGUGCGGUCGAUACGGGCAUCACUGGAGUUCGGCAGGGGAGACUGGAAUUCCUGGUGUAGCGGUGAAAUGCGCAGAUAUCAGGAAGAACACCCGUGGCGAAGGCGGCUCUCUGGGACGGUACUGACGCUGAGACGCGAAAGCGUGGGGAGCGAACAGG
RNAcentral lists this ribosomal RNA (254 nucleotides) under uncultured bacterium. RNAcentral describes it as "partial 16S ribosomal RNA". It matches the Rfam family "Bacterial small subunit ribosomal RNA", at positions 524 to 776 of the family's 1533-position model. The record is from RNAcentral.